CCUACGGGAGGCAGCAGUGGGGAAUCUUGCGCAAUGGCCGAGAGGCUGACGCAGCGACGCCGCGUGGGGGAUGAAGCAUUUCGGUGUGUAAACCCCUGUUGCUCGGGACGAACGGCCUGAUUCAUCAGGUGUGACGGUACCGAGUGAGGAAGCACCGGCUAACUCCGUGCCAGCAGCCGCGGUAAUACGGAGGGUGCGAGCGUUGUCCGGAAUCACUGGGCGUAAAGGGCGCGUAGGUGGUUGGAUGCGCCGGUGGUGAAAGCGCAGGGCUCAACCCUGCGUCGGCCAUCGGGACGGUCCGACUGGAGCACUGUAGAGGCAGGUGGAAUUCCGGGUGUAGCGGUGGAAUGCGUAGAGAUCCGGAAGAACACCGGUGGCGAAGGCGGCCUGCUGGGCAGUUGCUGACACUGAGGCGCGACAGCGUGGGGAGCAAACAGGAUUAGAUACCCUGGUAGUCCACGCCGUAAACGAUGGGCACUAGGUGCUUGGGGGAGCGACCCCCUGAGUGCCGACGCUAACGCAUUAAGUGCCCCGCCCUCGGGGGAGGACGGACCGCCGAAGGUAGUAACGUAACGAAAGAAAGUAGUACGGCGUGAGACGAGCGACGGACGACGACGAGGGAGGAGG
RNAcentral lists this ribosomal RNA (627 nucleotides) under uncultured bacterium. Its description in RNAcentral is "bacterial SSU rRNA". The stretch from base 1 to 536 matches the Rfam family "Bacterial small subunit ribosomal RNA", at positions 338 to 873 of the family's 1533-position model. The record is from RNAcentral.